Molecule: non-coding RNA, 72 nt
Filed under: Chaetoceros affinis
Lineage: Eukaryota; Bacillariophyta; Thalassiosirophyceae; Chaetocerotales; Chaetocerotaceae
Source: RNAcentral
CCAGAGGAAUACUGGCUCCUCCGAUUCCCAUUCUCCCUCCACACCGGCUGGAUCAUGACCCUCUUCGUCAUG